Molecule: ribosomal RNA, 458 nt
Filed under: Streptomyces sp. 8BC4
Lineage: Bacteria; Bacillati; Actinomycetota; Actinomycetes; Kitasatosporales; Streptomycetaceae
Description: bacterial SSU rRNA
Rfam family: Bacterial small subunit ribosomal RNA
Source: RNAcentral
UUUAGAGUUUGGAUCCUGGCUCAGGACGAACGCUGGCGGCGUGCUUAACACAUGCAAGUCGAACGAUGAAGCCGCUUCGGUGGUGGAUUAGUGGCGAACGGGUGAGUAACACGUGGGCAAUCUGCCCUUCACUCUGGGACAAGCCCUGGAAACGGGGUCUAAUACCGGAUACCACUUUGUCCCGCAUGGGACGGGGUUGAAAGCUCCGGCGGUGAAGGAUGAGCCCGCGGCCUAUCAGCUUGUUGGUGGGGUAAUGGCCUACCAAGGCGACGACGGGUAGCCGGCCUGAGAGGGCGACCGGCCACACUGGGACUGAGACACGGCCCAGACUCCUACGGGAGGCAGCAGUGGGGAAUAUUGCACAAUGGGCGAAAGCCUGAUGCAGCGACGCCGCGUGAGGGAUGACGGCCUUCGGGUUGUAAACCUCUUUCAGCAGGAAGAAGCGCAAGUACGUACUC